RNAcentral lists this ribosomal RNA (524 nucleotides) under Stutzerimonas stutzeri. RNAcentral describes it as "bacterial SSU rRNA". It matches the Rfam family "Bacterial small subunit ribosomal RNA", at positions 872 to 1395 of the family's 1533-position model. The record is from RNAcentral. Lineage: Bacteria; Pseudomonadati; Pseudomonadota; Gammaproteobacteria; Pseudomonadales; Pseudomonadaceae.
CCUGGGGAGUACGGCCGCAAGGUUAAAACUCAAAUGAAUUGACGGGGGCCCGCACAAGCGGUGGAGCAUGUGGUUUAAUUCGAAGCAACGCGAAGAACCUUACCAGGCCUUGACAUCCUGAGACCUCUCCAGAGAUGGAUCUGUGCCUUCCGGAAGUCUGACACAGAUGCCGCAUAUCUGUCUUCAGCGCGUGUCGCGAGAUAUGGUGUUAUGACCCGUACAGCGCGCGCCCCUUUUCAUUUUUUAUCCCCGCAUUAAGGUGGGCACUCUAAGGAGACUGCCGGUGACAAACCGGAGGAAGGUGGGGAUGACGUCAAGUCAUCAUGCCCCUUACGGCCUGGGCUACACACGUGCUACAAUGGUCGGUACAAAGGGUUGCCAAGCCGCGAGGUGGAGCUAAUCCCAUAAAACCGUUCGUAGUUCGGAUCGCAGUCUGCAACUCGCCUGCGUGAAGUCGGAAUCGCUAGUAAUCGCGAAUCAGAAUGUCACGGUGAAUACGUUCCCGGGCCUUGUACACACCGCCC